This 214-nucleotide long non-coding RNA is filed under the name Gossypium barbadense (sea-island cotton). Its description in RNAcentral is "long non-coding RNA (GBAR_LNC006289)". The record is from RNAcentral. Lineage: Eukaryota; Viridiplantae; Streptophyta; Magnoliopsida; Malvales; Malvaceae.
GUUAUUAUCUGAUGCAUGGGAUUGGGAUAUUGACGGAGGAAGUACUGAAAGUGGCUUGUCCACGUAUUGGAGGCUUUGCCUCAAUUUACUGUUAAUUGAGCAGCAAGGCUGCAACUGUGGAGUGUUGGGCUGGGUGGGUUGAGCUAUUCCCCACAUGGAGUGUAGGGCUGGUACGGGUGGAGUGUAGUGGUUGGUGGGUUGAGUAGUUUCCCCA